UAGGGAAUCUUCCGCAAUGGACGAAAGUCUGACGGAGCAACGCCGCGUGAGUGAAGAAGGAUUUCGGUUCGUAAAACUCUGUUGUUAGGGAAGAAAAAAUGUAUAGUAACUAUAUACAAAAGAGACGGUACCUAACCAGAAAGCCACGGCUAACUACGUGCCAGCAGCCGCGGUAAUACGUAGGUGGCAAGCGUUGUCCGGAUUCAUUGGGCGUAAAGCGCUCGUAGGCGGUCUGUUAGGUCGGCAAGUUAAAUCCGGGGGCUCAACCCCCGACCGGUUCCGAUACCGGCAGACUUUAGUUUGGUAAGGGAAGGUGGAAUUCCUAGAGUAGCGGUGGAAUGCGCGGGUAUUAGGAAGAAAACCCGUGGCGAAGGCGACCUUCUUGGCCAUAACUGACGCUGCGGAGCGAAAGCUAGGGGAGCGAACAGG
This 429-nucleotide ribosomal RNA is filed under the name Verrucomicrobiota bacterium. Its description in RNAcentral is "Verrucomicrobia bacterium partial 16S ribosomal RNA". It matches the Rfam family "Bacterial small subunit ribosomal RNA", at positions 355 to 776 of the family's 1533-position model. The record is from RNAcentral. Lineage: Bacteria; Pseudomonadati; Verrucomicrobiota.